This 696-nucleotide long non-coding RNA is filed under the name Apteryx owenii (little spotted kiwi). RNAcentral's name for it is "lncRNA (ENSAOWG00000009552.1)". The record is from RNAcentral. Lineage: Eukaryota; Metazoa; Chordata; Aves; Apterygiformes; Apterygidae.
CUGUGUUGAGGACAAAGAACAACGAUCUUCUUCAUUCCUGCUUCUGCCUUGCAAGCUUCAGGCAAAUUCUGCUUUCGCCCGAAUGUAAAAAAGACUGAGGAACUAGCGACUACCCCAUGCCCUCGGGAAUGCCAGUCUAGUCUGUGGCCUGCUGGUGGUUUGAGCCGACUGGUACAGAGCCGUGUCAGUGCCAGAGACCUCCCCGUGGUUGGAAAGAUGAGAUCCAGCACCGUCUCCCAGCUUGGUGUGAGGCUGAGCAUGGCCCUGGAGGAUGCAGAUGUCUUUGGACAGGGGCUCAAAUUGACAGUGAUUAAGAAGUGCUGCGUGCUGAGUGUCCCCAUGUCCCCUCGGAGCCUCCAGAGGGAUGUUGGUGUGGUCUCCUGGCAGCAGAAGGUGCGAAGCAAGUCCCCACUGCAGACGCUUGGGAUUUUGAGCAAAAUCCACAGGGGUUUUGCAACACUUUUUUCGCUGCACUUCUCAGGAUUUUUUUCCUUCCUUUUCUCGACCCGUGCAGCAUCUCUGCCACGUGUGGAUCCCAGCUGGGCUGGAGCAGUACGAGCGUUCGGGAGCCUGAGUUUAGUAUUUGAGGGCCUUGCAGGAGAAGCAGAGGAGCUAGCUGGGGUCUUGGUCUCUGGAGCCGUUUUGGUGCAACGCGACGGUGGCGUGGAUGGUCCCGGCGAGCUGAGAGCAGUAUAA